Alligator mississippiensis (American alligator) is the source of this 599-nucleotide long non-coding RNA. RefSeq lists it as uncharacterized. The record is from RefSeq and is a predicted model, not a curated record. The transcript is spliced from 3 exons. Lineage: Eukaryota; Metazoa; Chordata; Crocodylia; Alligatoridae.
GGUGCUCCUGCCACUUUAAGGGCCUGGAGCUGGCAGCCUCCAGGUGCCUGAUUGCGGCAGCCAUUUUGAGGCUUAUAUAAACCAGGCAGUUUGGCUGUAGGACACUAGGCAGUAAUAUUGCCUGGCUGUAGGGUUGCUGUGAUUGACCUGGAGUUGGUGGAAGAAGAUGAGAUGGAAACUUGAGUGUUAGAAUGGACUCUACCUUUGAAAAAGGAAGAUCUUUGCUUGAAUUCUGAUGAACCGACUGCACCAAAGAAAUACUUCCUAAGUCUCAAUUGGGUUUUAGACCAUCAAGAGGCACCAGCAACAUAGUUUUUGUGGCCUGGCAGAUCCAGGAAAAAUGCUGAGAAUAACACCAGGAACUGUAUAUGUCCUUUAUCAAUUUGACCAAAGCCUUCAACUGUUAACUCUCCAUGAGGCUCUGUGGAAGAUCUUAUUGGAGUUUGACUGUCCAGAGAAAUUUAUCACCAUACUAAAACUCCUUCAUGACCAGAUGACUGACUCCAUCCUAUGGAGUGGCUCCAUUAUGGAGCCCUUUGUCACUCAAACUGGCAUCUAUUUGGGCUGUGUGAUCACACCAGUUUUGUUUUCCAUUUUUC